UGGGGAAUCUUGCACAAUGGGGGCAACCCUGAUGCAGCGACGCCGCGUGAGCGAUGAAGGUUUUCGAAUCGUAAAGCUCUGUCCUAUGGGAAGAUAAUGACGGUACCAUAGGAGGAAGCCCCGGCUAACUACGUGCCAGCAGCCGCGGUAAUACGUAGGGGGCGAGCGUUAUCCGGAUUCAUUGGGCGUAAAGCGCGCGCAGGCGGCUCUUCAAGCGGAACCUCUAACCCCGGGGCUCAACCUCGGGCCGGGUUCCGAACUGGAGGGCUCGAGUGCGGUAGAGGCAGGCGGAAUUCCCGGUGUAGCGGUGGAAUGCGCAGAUAUCGGGAAGAACACCGAUGGCGAAGGCAGCCUGCUGGGCCGGCACUGACGCUGAGGCGCGAAAGCUAGGGGAGCGAACAGG
This 403-nucleotide ribosomal RNA is filed under the name Verrucomicrobiota bacterium. RNAcentral's name for it is "Verrucomicrobia bacterium partial 16S ribosomal RNA". It matches the Rfam family "Bacterial small subunit ribosomal RNA", at positions 355 to 776 of the family's 1533-position model. The record is from RNAcentral. Lineage: Bacteria; Pseudomonadati; Verrucomicrobiota.